AAGUCGUAACAAGGUUUCCGUAGGCGAACCUGCGGAAGGAUCAUUAAUGAAUUAUGAAAGGGGUUGUCGCUGGCUGUUAGCAGCAUGUGCACGCUCUGAUCAUUAUCCAUCUUACACACCUGUGCACACACUGUAAGUAGGCUUUUGAUGCAAAGUAAAGGUCUUCAUUGACUCUGCUUUAAAUUGGGAGCCUGCUUAUGUUUCAUCACACACUACUUCAGUUUAAAGAAUGUCAAAUCGCGUUUAACGCAUUUAAAUACAA
RNAcentral lists this unclassified non-coding RNA (262 nucleotides) under plant metagenome. RNAcentral's name for it is "partial contains small subunit ribosomal RNA and internal transcribed spacer 1". The stretch from base 1 to 46 matches the Rfam family "Eukaryotic small subunit ribosomal RNA", at positions 1786 to 1831 of the family's 1831-position model. The record is from RNAcentral.